Molecule: ribosomal RNA, 497 nt
Filed under: uncultured bacterium
Lineage: Bacteria
Description: partial 16S ribosomal RNA
Rfam family: Bacterial small subunit ribosomal RNA
Source: RNAcentral
GAUGAACGCUGGCGGCGUGCCUAAUACAUGCAAGUCGAGCGAACAGACGAGGAGCUUGCUCCUCUGACGUUAGCGGCGGACGGGUGAGUAACACGUGGAUAACCUACCUAUAAGACUGGGAUAACUUCGGGAAACCGGAGCUAAUACCGGAUAAUAUAUUGAACCGCAUGGUUCAAUAGUGAAAGACGGUUUUGCUGUCACUUAUCGAUGGAUCCGCGCCGCAUUAGCUAGUUGGUAAGGUAACGGCUUACCAAGGCAACGAUGCGUAGCCGAGCUGAGAGGGUGAUCGGCCACACUGGAACUGAGACGCGGUCCAGACUCCUACGGGAGGCAGCAGUAGGGAAUCUUCCGCAAUGGGCGAAAGCCUGACGGAGCAACGCCGCGUGAGUGAUGAAGGUCUUCGGAUCGUAAAACUCUGUUAUUAGGGAAGAACAAAUGUGUAAGUAACUAUGCACGUCUUGACGGUACCUAAUCAGAAAGCCACGGCUAACUACGUG